Molecule: unclassified non-coding RNA, 283 nt
Filed under: root metagenome
Description: partial contains small subunit ribosomal RNA, internal transcribed spacer 1, and 5.8S ribosomal RNA
Source: RNAcentral
UUUCUAUAGGUGAACCUGCGGAAGGAUCAUUGUCGUGACCCUGACCAAAACAGACCAUGCACGCGUCAUCCAAUCCACCGGCGAUGGCAACGUCCGUCGCACAGCCAAGUCCUCGACCGUCUCCCCUCCUCGGAGUGGGGGCUCGGGGUAAAAGAACCCACGGCGCCGAAGCCGUCAAGGAACACUGUGCCUAACCCAGGGGCAUGGCUAGCUUGCUAGUCGUCCCCUGUGUUGCAAAGCCAUUUAAUCCACACGACUCUCGGCAACGGAUAUCUCGGCUCUC